Molecule: ribosomal RNA, 492 nt
Filed under: uncultured bacterium
Lineage: Bacteria
Description: partial 16S ribosomal RNA
Rfam family: Bacterial small subunit ribosomal RNA
Source: RNAcentral
AGUGAACGCUGGCGGUAGGCCUAACACAUGCAAGUCGAACGGCAGCACAGUAAGAGCUUGCUCUUACGGGUGGCGAGAGGCGGACGGGUGAGGAAUACAUCGGAAUCUACUUUUUCGGGGGGGAUAACGUAGGGAAACUUACGCUAAUACCGCAUACGACCUACGGGUGAAAGCAGGGGAUCUUCGGACCUUGCGCGAUUGAAUGAGCCGAUGUCGGAUUAGCUAGUUGGCGGGGUAAAGGCCCACCAAGGCGACGAUCCGUAGCUGGUCUGGGUGGAUGGUAGGCGACAUGGGAACUUGAACACGGUCCAGACUACUACGGGAGGCAGCAGUCUGGAAUGGUGGACAAUGGGCGCAAGCCUGAUCCAGCCAUACCGCGUGGGUGGAGGAGGCCUUCGGGUUGUAAAGACCUUUUGUUGGGAAAGAAAAGCAGCAGGUUAAUACCCCGCUGUUCUGACGGUAACCAAAGAAUAAGCACCGGCUAACUUCGUG